This 253-nucleotide ribosomal RNA is filed under the name uncultured bacterium. RNAcentral describes it as "partial 16S ribosomal RNA". It matches the Rfam family "Bacterial small subunit ribosomal RNA", at positions 524 to 776 of the family's 1533-position model. The record is from RNAcentral.
UACAGAGGUCUCAAGCGUUGUUCGGAUUCAUUGGGCGUAAAGGGUGCGUAGGCGGCGCGGUAAGUCGGGUGUGAAAUCUCGGAGCUUAACUCCGAAACUGCAUUCGAUACUGCCGUGCUUGAGGACUGGAGAGGAGACUGGAAUUUACGGUGUAGCGGUGAAAUGCGUAGAUAUCAGGAGGAACACCAAUGGCGAAGGCAGCUCGCUGGAACGGUACUGACGCUGAGGCGCGAAAGCGUGGGGAGCAAACAGG